CCCAGACUCCUACGGGAGGCAGCAGUGGGGGAUAUUGCACAAUGGGGGGAACCCUGAUGCAGCGACGCCGCGUGGGUGAAGGAGCGUUUCGGCGCGUAAAGCCCUAUCGGCAGGGAAGAAGGAGGACGGUACCUGACUAAGAAGCCCCGGCUAACUACGUGCCAGCAGCCGCGGGAAUACGUAGGGGGCAAGCGUUAUCCGGAUUUACUGGGUGUAAAGGGGGCGCAGACGGCAGCGCAAGCCAGGAGUGAAAGCCCGGGGCCCAACCCCGGGACUGCUCUUGGAACUGCGCGGCUGGAGUGCAGGAGGGGCAGGCGGAAUUCCUGGUGUAGCGGUGAAAUGCGUAGAUAUCAGGAGGAACGCCGGUGGCGGAGGCGGCCUGCUGGACUACGACUGACGUUGAGGCCCGAAAGCGUGGGGAGCAAGCAGGAUUAGAUCCCCGGGUA
This 446-nucleotide ribosomal RNA is filed under the name uncultured bacterium. RNAcentral's name for it is "partial 16S ribosomal RNA". It matches the Rfam family "Bacterial small subunit ribosomal RNA", at positions 330 to 792 of the family's 1533-position model. The record is from RNAcentral.